UAGGGAAUCUUCGGCAAUGGACGAAAGUCUGACCGAGCAACGCCGCGUGAGUGAAGAAGGUUUUCGGAUCGUAAAACUCUGUUGUUAGAGAAGAACAAGGACGUUAGUAACUGAACGUCCCCUGACGGUAUCUAACCAGAAAGCCACGGCUAACUACGUGCCAGCAGCCGCGGUAAUACGUAGGUGGCAAGCGUUGUCCGGAUUUAUUGGGCGUAAAGCGAGCGCAGGCGGUUUCUUAAGUCUGAUGUGAAAGCCCCCGGCUCAACCGGGGAGGGUCAUUGGAAACUGGGAGACUUGAGUGCAGAAGAGGAGAGUGGAAUUCCAUGUGUAGCGGUGAAAUGCGUAGAUAUAUGGGGGAACACCAGUGGCGAAGGCGGCUCUCUGGUCAGUAACUGACGCUGAGGCUCGAAAGCGUGGGGAGCAAACAGG
Molecule: ribosomal RNA, 429 nt
Filed under: Gemmatimonadota bacterium
Lineage: Bacteria; Pseudomonadati; Gemmatimonadota
Description: Gemmatimonadetes bacterium partial 16S ribosomal RNA
Rfam family: Bacterial small subunit ribosomal RNA
Source: RNAcentral